UACGAAGGGGGCUAGCGUUGCUCGGAUUUACUGGGCGUAAAGGGAGCGUAGGCGGAACGACAAGUCAGGUUUUAAAGCCUGGGGCUCAACCCCAGAUCUGGACUGGAGACUGGUGAUCUGGAUUCGUGGAGAGGCAACUGGAAUUCCUGGUGUAGCGGUGGAAUGCGUAGAUACCAGGAGGAACACCAGUUGCGAAGGCGGCUCUCUGGACUGUAACUGACACUGAGGCACGAAAGCGUGGGGAGCAAACAGG
Molecule: ribosomal RNA, 253 nt
Filed under: uncultured bacterium
Lineage: Bacteria
Description: partial 16S ribosomal RNA
Rfam family: Bacterial small subunit ribosomal RNA
Source: RNAcentral